RNAcentral lists this ribosomal RNA (341 nucleotides) under uncultured Pseudomonadota bacterium. RNAcentral describes it as "bacterial SSU rRNA". It matches the Rfam family "Bacterial small subunit ribosomal RNA", at positions 29 to 351 of the family's 1533-position model. Lineage: Bacteria; Pseudomonadati; Pseudomonadota. The record is from RNAcentral.
AACGAACGCUGGCGGCGUGCUUAACACAUGCAAGUCGAACGAGAAAUCCCGGGCAACUGGGAGAGUAAAGUGGCGCACGGGUGAGUAACGCGUGGGUAACCUACCCUUGAAUUGGGGAUAACUCCGCGAAAGCGGGGCUAAUACCGAAUAAUAUCUCGAGGUCUUCGGGCCUUGGGAUCAAAGAUGGCCUCUGCAUGCAAGCUAUCGUUUAAGGAUGGGCCCGCGUACCAUUAGCUUGUUGGUAGGGUAAUGGCCUACCAAGGCAACGAUGGUUAGCUGGUCUGAGAGGAUGGCCAGCCACACUGGAACUGAGAUACGGUCCAGACUCCUACGGGAGGCAG